RNAcentral lists this ribosomal RNA (468 nucleotides) under uncultured bacterium. RNAcentral's name for it is "partial 16S ribosomal RNA". It matches the Rfam family "Bacterial small subunit ribosomal RNA", at positions 28 to 507 of the family's 1533-position model. The record is from RNAcentral.
GACGAACGCUGGCGGCGUGCUUAACACAUGCAAGUCGAACGGAAAGGCCCUGCUUUUGUGGGGUGCUCGAGUGGCGAACGGGUGAGUAACACGUGAGUAACCUGCCCUUGACUUUGGGAUAACUUCAGGCAACUGGGGCUAAUACCGGAUAGGAGCUCCUGCUGCAUGGUGGGGGUUGGAAAGUUUCGGCGGUUGGGGAUGGACUCGCGGCUUAUCAGCUUGUUGGUGGGGUAGUGGCUUACCAAGGCAUUGACGGGUAGCCGGCCUGAGAGGGUGACCGGCCACAUUGGGACUGAGAUACGGCCCAGAGUCCUACGGGAGGCAGCAGUGGGGAAUAUUGCACAAUGGGCGGAAGCCUGAUGCAGCAACGCCGCGUGCGGGAUGACGGCCUUCGGGUUGUAAACCGCUUUCGCCUGUGACGAAGCGUGAGUGACGGUAAUGGGUAAAGAAGCACCGGCUAACUACGUG